GCGUCAAGACAGUGAAGACGCGGAAUAAGGCUCUUGGAGUGGCCGUGGGUGGUGGAGCCGAUGGCAGCCGAGACGAGCUGUUCCGCAGAAGCCCUCGGCCCAAGGGAGACUUCUCCAGCCGGGCCCGUGAAGUGGUAAGCUGGUUGCUAUGGGAACGACUGGUGGGAGUCAGGGGCGGAUCUGCAACCGCGGACCCUGCACCCCUAACUGGGCCCUGCCUCGUUAGCUCUUGGUGAAGUGAGGGAGUCUCUAGCAAGACAGAAGAGUCGGUCUCACGAAGCCAACAGCUGGCUCGGGGUGGCGACAGGUUUAUUCUCACGAAGAGGGACGCAUAUCUGGGCACUGAAGGAAGCAAGUUUUGAAGAGGCUCUUGGAUGUCCUUGAACUCAGGCUAACUUUUAGAGGCAGUGAGUUCGCCGUGGCUGCUGAUUUGAGUGCCUUGGAAGAGUUCCCACAGUCUUACGCUUCCUGUAUUAAAACUCACCACUCUCUCCGCUUGCCCUUUCAUGUGUGUGUUUGGACCUCCUCUUGUGCAUAGGGUUUAAUAAAAAUCUACGCUCAGCAG
This 565-nucleotide long non-coding RNA is filed under the name Rattus norvegicus (Norway rat). RNAcentral describes it as "long non-coding RNA NONRATT009989". The record is from RNAcentral. Lineage: Eukaryota; Metazoa; Chordata; Mammalia; Rodentia; Muridae.